RNAcentral lists this transfer RNA (91 nucleotides) under Saccharomyces pastorianus. RNAcentral describes it as "tRNA-Phe". It matches the Rfam family "tRNA". Rfam says of the family: Transfer RNA (tRNA) molecules are approximately 80 nucleotides in length. Their secondary structure includes four short double-helical elements and three loops (D, anti-codon, and T loops). Lineage: Eukaryota; Fungi; Ascomycota; Saccharomycetes; Saccharomycetales; Saccharomycetaceae. The record is from RNAcentral.
GCGGACUUAGCUCAGUUGGGAGAGCGCCAGACUGAAGAAAAACUUCGAUCAAGUCAUCUGGAGGUCCUGUGUUCGAUCCACAGAGUUCGCA